This is a long non-coding RNA of Neogale vison (American mink), 2820 nucleotides long. RefSeq lists it as uncharacterized. NCBI's taxonomy places the organism in Eukaryota, Metazoa, Chordata, Mammalia, Carnivora, Mustelidae. The transcript is spliced from 3 exons. The record is from RefSeq and is a predicted model, not a curated record.
UGAGGUGCGUGUUACGCUGACCUCCAGAGCCUCUUAUUCGCCUUCCUUGUUUUCUCUGAGCAAACACUUGGAGGUACUUAGUCUGGCUAUGUGACCUGAGGACACCUUUUUUUUUCUGGACAACUGUAAUCUCUUUGGUCCAGGUGUUGCAGGAUUUUUCUCCAUCGGUGCCCACAGUUCUUGGUUACACCACUUUGAAGAAUGAAGAGGUAGACCAGACAGACAGUGUGGUGGGCAGCAAAGAAGGUUUAUUGAGUGAGAGCAAAGUGAUAGUACAAAGCUCCCAAGGAGGGAGGGGGCCUGAAGGGGUUGCCCUGUAGUCUGUUGUUUAAAAAAAGGUGUUUACUCUAUAUUUCUCCAUGUAUGUGUGUGUGUGUGAAUAAAAUAAAAGCAUCUACAGAUUUUCAGUAUGCUCAGUGAGAUCAGCAGAAUUUCACUUACCAAAAUGUCUACCCAACAUGCUUCUUAGAUUUUCCUAGUAUCUAGGAUUUAGACCUACCUUUCAAAACUGUUAGCCUUUUUCAUGUUUCUUCUUUUUUCAAUAGGUAUAUUUGAACUUUGUUUCAAAGAUAGCUUCAUCUAUCUUUAACAAACAUUAGUUCACAUUUGACUCCACCUCUUUUUCAACUGAUCUCUUCAUGUUUGAAUCAUUCUAUUUUGAUUGGUUGCUUGUUCUGCUGUUGAGGAAUUAUUUUGUUUGCUUGUGAACAAUUCCAUGGUUUGUAAAAGUUGUCUCUAAAAUCAUCAAGUAUUAAAUAUCAAGUGCAGGUCUGAUGUUGUUCCAGGGCUGAGGGACAUUAAAAUGACAGUUUUUAAAUUAAGAAAUAAGUCUUACUUGGUCUCCAAACUAAAGAAAUCACCACUUUCCUUAUUUGGGAGGUAAGAUUUAAAUAUAUGCAAUAACAACAAUAAUUUGGUGCUGAAAUCAAUGCCCAAAACAAUAAUCUUCCCAGGGUUUCAAGAUGGAGAGAUCUCUCUGAGAGAGGGUGGCAGGAAAGAAGUCCUCAGUUGAGUGAGAUGGACCUGAAUGACUUGUUCAGCUUGUUUCUGCCCCUCCUUAUGAAACAGCAUACCUUCUGAAGGAGUUCUAAAAACAUCUCAGAGGAAAGAGGACCAAACUCACCAAAGGCUAAGUAGAAAGCACUGGAAGCAUUUGCCCUCUAAGAAAAAUGAUUUGCAUAAUUAGAAACCCACUGGAGGAGCCAUUCAGCUGCCCUAGGGGCUAAGGGUCGAAGGAAGGCUAUAAAUGAAACUUGGCAAAUAUCAGCAGACCCUGAGAAUGUACCACGUACAUGUCACUCUACAAAGUGCUUUCUAUGCAUCAAAGAUCUCCGAUUUUCACCAACAUCUAGAAGACUGCCACAUACAGGGCCUCAUUUGGAUGUGUCUGGAGUCUUGGAAGAUUGACUACCCUACGUUCUCCUACAAAUGGACCUUGAGAGCUUGUUUGGAGGUUCCAAGAGGGAGCACAACUACUCCUAUACCCUUGACCAGAGAAUGGUCCUCCUCUAUCCACGAAUCAUUCUCCUUCAUGGAGCACAACAGCUUCCAGGAGGGAUGCACAUGGAACAGUGAGGGAGGAAGGGGACACCUGCCAACCCAGCCAGAUCAGCCAGAUCAACCCUGGUGAUCAGUGCAAGUGACAGAUGUCACAAUUCGAUCACCCUCACAUCCUAUAGCUGACACUUCUUGAAGUCUUUAAUCAUAUAAUUUACAGAAGUGUGUCUGGUGACAUCUUCUCUCCAAAUGUAGCUUCCAUUUGUUCAAUUAUGCUAGUGUGGGGAACAGUUAUUGAUAAUAUCUGACAAUAUCAGAAGGCCCUAAAGCAGAACAUGUCAAAAACCAAGUCCCAUGGAUCCUUUUGGUACAAUUUCAAAUGAUGAGAAGUUAUGAGAAUCUUUAGGUAGGGACACAUUAUCAUGAUUAUUAGGAUAAGGAGUAAAAUACGGACACUGUAAAUUUAAGUUAUUUUGGGCAAAUUUUAAAGUGUCUUGUAUUAUCCUCUUAACAGGUAGCAGAUACAGACUGACAUGAUCUGUCCAAUAAGAAUACUUUUGUACAGAUUUUUGAAAGUAUUUUACCUAUGAUCUCAGUUCUAUCAUUUACAAGUAGUAAAGGUAUUACCAGGUGGGGGAAAAAAAAAAACCUGUUUUAACAAUAACAUGAAAUUGAUUUGUUCACAUGGUUCUUGAGGUAUGGUUUGAAGCCCUGCCUCAGCUUUAUAGUUUUGAAAUUUACAUUAAUUACAGAUAACACAAGGGUCAAUCACUUGUCCAGUCUUUGGGCUAAUCAACGUAUUUGUAAAAUUUGAACUGGUUGGUGUUAAUCACUGGAGUUAUUUUUAUUUACAUGAUUAUAAAGUCUGGAGAUGGCUGAGCCACAGAAGCGGUAUGAGAGAUUUGUGGUAGUCAAUUUUUAUCGAAGGGCUGGUUAUACUUGAUUUUAUUUUUAGAAAUCAGACUAGACAAUUGGUAUAGUGCUGAUGGUGAGGAAUCCUUGAAAGGCUCUUUUUUGCACUGCAGUUUGGGUAUUUUCUUUAGCAUUAGGUUUAAUUUUAACUACUCAGUUUUACUUUGGUUGCUCCUUUUCCUGAGUACUUAACCCAUCCCCAGCUCCCGCCCCAAUAUUGACUGAGCCGUCUGCACAAGUUAGAAAUUCCGUUUGUUUUCAUACAAGUGAAAGCAAAUGAACAACCGCCAGAUAUAUCUAUUUUAAGUAAAUAUGUCAACUCUUGAGCCGUGAGUGAAGUGCCAUUCUCAGAUCUGACCUGUAGACUGAGUUAUUGGUUAUAGAGAAUAAAGUGAAAACAUAACGGUAAAA